RNAcentral lists this ribosomal RNA (217 nucleotides) under Clostridioides difficile. RNAcentral describes it as "partial 23S ribosomal RNA". It matches the Rfam family "Bacterial large subunit ribosomal RNA", at positions 1377 to 1589 of the family's 2925-position model. The record is from RNAcentral. Lineage: Bacteria; Bacillati; Bacillota; Clostridia; Peptostreptococcales; Peptostreptococcaceae.
GGGUUAGUCGGGACCUAAGCUGAGGCCGAAAGGCGUAGGUGAUGGACAACAGGUUGAUAUUCCUGUACUACCGAUAACCGUUUGAGAGAUGGGAUGACACAGUAGGAUAAGCUAAGCACACUGUUGGGUAUGUGUGCCCAAGCAUUGAGGCAGUCAAAGUAGGCAAAUCCGCUUUGAUAAUGCUGGGAUGUGAUGGGGAGCGAAAUUUAGUAGCGAA